AAAGACCUKGGUGUUUUUCUGCUUAUUGUAUUUUAUUUUUCAUUGGUGUUUCUAGACUUGCAAGAGAUGGACAAUAUGGUGGAGGCAGCACUGAGAGGAGGCAAUGCCAAGAUUUGCUCUAGCUGRAUGAUUUAGAAAUGGUUUGAUGAGUGAUCUACAUCUGUGCUUGGUGGCUGGGGAAGUUCAUUGAUGCCUCUAUGCAUCUGGACCCGAUCUUGACAGGGAAAUACCCGUACUACUUAGCAGCAGGAGUGAUAAACAGAAUAGGACAUCAAAAUAGAACACACGACCUCAGGAUCCAUUUUUUUUCACACCACUUUGUGUAGCCAUGACCAAACCAGUCAGAUCAAGAC
This is a long non-coding RNA of Dromaius novaehollandiae (emu), 353 nucleotides long. NCBI's taxonomy places the organism in Eukaryota, Metazoa, Chordata, Aves, Casuariiformes, Dromaiidae. The record is from Ensembl.